GCCGGAUUAGCUAGUUGGUAGGGUAACGGCCUACCAAGGCGACGAUCCGUAGCUGGUCUGAGAGGACGACCAGCCACACUGGGACUGAGACACGGCCCAGACUCCUACGGGAGGCAGCAGUGGGGAAUAUUGGACAAUGGGGGAAACCCUGAUCCAGCGACGCCGCGUGUGUGAAGAAGGCCUGCGGGUUGUAAAGCACUUUUAGUGGGGAUGAAAAGUUCAGGGCUAAUAUCUCUGAAUCUUGACCUAACCCAAAGAAAAAGCACCGGCUAACUCUGUGCCAGCAGCCGCGGUAAUACAGAGGGUGCAAGCGUUAAUCGGAAUUACUGGGCGUAAAGCGUGCGUAGACGGUUAUGUAAGUCAGGUGUGAAGGCCCCGGGCUCAACCUGGGAAUUGCAUUUGAGACUGCAUAGCUAGGGUACGGAAGAGGGAAGCGGAAUUUCAGGUGUAGCGGUGAAAUGCGUAGAUAUCUGAAGGAACACCAGUGGCGAAAGCGGCUUCCUGGUCCAGUACCGACGUUCAGCACGAAAGCGUGGGGAGCA
Molecule: ribosomal RNA, 542 nt
Filed under: uncultured bacterium
Lineage: Bacteria
Description: bacterial SSU rRNA
Rfam family: Bacterial small subunit ribosomal RNA
Source: RNAcentral